UACGUAGGGCGCAAGCGUUAUCCGGAAUUAUUGGGCGUAAAGAGCUCGUAGGCGGUUUGUCGCGUCUGCCGUGAAAGUCCGGGGCUCAACUCCGGAUCUGCGGUGGGUACGGGCAGACUAGAGUGAUGUAGGGGAGACUGGAAUUCCUGGUGUAGCGGUGAAAUGCGCAGAUAUCAGGAGGAACACCGGUGGCGAAGGCGGGUCUCUGGGCCGAAACUGACGCUGAGGAGCGAAAGCAUGGGUAGCGAACAGG
RNAcentral lists this ribosomal RNA (253 nucleotides) under uncultured bacterium. RNAcentral describes it as "partial 16S ribosomal RNA". It matches the Rfam family "Bacterial small subunit ribosomal RNA", at positions 524 to 776 of the family's 1533-position model. The record is from RNAcentral.